AAAACUAAACUUCUAAGAAAAAAAUACGGAAGUAAAUGUAUUAGUUUUACCCAAUAAAAGGCUAUGUAUUAAAUAAGUUGAUGGAUUUUUUUAAAUGCACUAUUUGUAUUCUCAUGUGAAAAGGACUACUUAGAUAUUAAGUAUAUACUGUCCUGAGACUGGUGUGAUUUUAGAAAACUAGGUAGCCACUUACUAAUUUUAUUUUGUUAGCUCUUAUAAAUAGUUGUGAAAUAUAACAGUAUUAUGUAAAUAGAAGACUAAAGAAAAUAUUUAUUAAGCAUAACUUACAUGUGAAUUAUGAGGUUGGGGUAGAAAACCAAGAAUGGGAAUUUUUUAAGCAGGGAAAAAGAGAUGGAUCAAUGUCAGAACAUUUUAAGGUUUUGCUGAAAUCUUCAAAUCAAUGAACGACACAAUUAAAUGUGAGUAUUAUAGCAAAUGUGUCCAUGAAUGAUUCUCCUGGGUUAGUCAAAAACACAAUAAUUCCAUGUGACUUUUUCUUAAUGAAAUAUCCAAGGAAUUUAACAUUCUUUCAGGAGAACUUCUUUCAGAUCACUGAUGUCUCUAAGAGUGCCCGGCUGCUUUAGUGGGAGCUACUCUGAUUUUUCAUUACCUUAAGCCACUGAUAAGAAAGGGGCUUUCAACAGGACAACAUCCCAGAAUGCCAUUUUUUAGAAAGGAGAAUGCCUUCAUGGCACUUAGGGUGUGCUAUCCAUCUGUUCCAAAUGCAAACAAUGACAACUAUUUGCUUUUCUGGAGGGUAGAGCUCCUUAUAUCAUAGUAAAAGGUUACCUCAGUGAUCAAUGCUCUAGAACACUCCUCCUCAAUGGAGAUGACAUACACAAGAUUCUAGAAAUGAAAGUCAACACCCUUAGGAGUGUGUUGCCUUCCGCAGGUGCUCCAACACUGAGAGGAGAGAAGGCAUUGGAAUCAAAACCUUGCUGAGAAGCUGUGCACUACAGCCAAAGCAGUGGCGUCCAGGAGACAAGGUCUCAUAGUGUAUUCACAUUCAAUACCCACUGCACACGAUCCAAUUAGUUUCACAAGCAUUAAGUGAGAUGUAUUUCUUAAUGAAGCCUUUAAGCAAGGUUGGCCGUAUGUAUCCUAGAAGAGAGAUAAGCACGACUCUGCUGCUCUGAUGCGCCAUGGUGGAACGGCUUUCUGGGGUCAGCUACAUCCGCAUCAUUAGACAAUAGAUGGUGGAGAUUAUUGUUCCAGAUGUUCCAGAUUCUGUUUUCACAGAAUUACUGGAUUCUGUGAAAGCCAGUUUACAACCAGGAAAAUAAUAAACCUGAUUAACUAGCUUCAGAAAUUUUUAAUCCUAAUAAUUAUUGGUUUAUGC
RNAcentral lists this small RNA (1339 nucleotides) under Rattus norvegicus (Norway rat). RNAcentral's name for it is "uncharacterized LOC102548462". The record is from RNAcentral. Lineage: Eukaryota; Metazoa; Chordata; Mammalia; Rodentia; Muridae.